GGGGACGUGGUGGAACUGGUAGACACGCAAGAUUGAGGUUCUUGUGGCCGCAAGGCUGUGGAAGUUCGAGUCUUCUCGUCCCCACCA
Molecule: transfer RNA, 87 nt
Filed under: bacterium
Lineage: Bacteria
Description: tRNA-Leu
Rfam family: tRNA
About the family: Transfer RNA (tRNA) molecules are approximately 80 nucleotides in length. Their secondary structure includes four short double-helical elements and three loops (D, anti-codon, and T loops).
Source: RNAcentral